AGUAAACGGCGGCCGUAACUAUAACGGUCCUAAGGUAGCGAAAUUCCUUGUCGGGUAAGUUCCGACCCGCACGAAAGGCGUAACGAUUUGGGCACUGUCUCAACGAGAGACUCGGUGAAAUCAUAGUACCUGUGAAGAUGCAGGUUACCCGCGACAGGACGGAAAGACCCCGUGGAGCUUUACUGUAGCCUGAUAUUGAAAUUCGGCACAGCUUGUACAGGAUAGGUAGGAGCCUUUGAAACGUGAGCGCUAGCUUACGUGGAGGCGCUGGUGGGAUACUACCCUAGCUGUGUUGGCUUUCUAACCCGCACCACUUAUCGUGGUGGGAGACAGUGUCAGGCGGGCAGUUUGACUGGGGCGGUCGCCUCCUAAAAGGUAACGGAGGCGCUCAAAGGUUCCCUCAGAAUGGUUGGAAAUCAUUCAUAGAGUGUAAAGGCAUAAGGGAGCUUGACUGCGAGACCUACAAGUCGAGCAGGGUCGAAAGACGGACUUAGUGAUCCGGUGGUUCCGCAUGGAAGGGCCAUCGCUCAACGGAUAAAAGCUACCCCGGGGAUAACAGGCUUAUCUCCCCCAAGAGUUCACAUCGACGGGGAGGUUUGGCACCUCGAUGUCGGCUCAUCGCAUCCUGGGGCUGUAGUCGGUCCCAAGGGUUGGGCUGUUCGCCCAUUAAAGCGGUACGCGAGCUGGGUUCAGAACGUCGUGAGACAGUUCGGUCCCUAUCCGUCGUGGGCGUAGGAAAUUUGAGAGGAGCUGUCCUUAGUACGAGAGGACCGGGAUGGACAUACCUCUGGUGUACCAGUUGUCGUGCCAACGGCAUAGCUGGGUAGCUAUGUGUGGACGGGAUAAGUGCUGAAAG
RNAcentral lists this ribosomal RNA (856 nucleotides) under Staphylococcus aureus. RNAcentral describes it as "partial 23S ribosomal RNA". It matches the Rfam family "Bacterial large subunit ribosomal RNA", at positions 1922 to 2777 of the family's 2925-position model. Lineage: Bacteria; Bacillati; Bacillota; Bacilli; Caryophanales; Staphylococcaceae. The record is from RNAcentral.